CCUGACUGCUAUCGGAUUGAUACUAAGCCAUGCUAGUCUUUGUAGUAAUACAAGGCAUACGGCUCAGUAACGCGUAGUCAACCUACCCUAUGGACGGGGAUAAUCUCGGGAAACUGAGCAUAAUACCCGGCAGACCACUUGUCCUGGAAUGGUUAGUGGUUAAAAUGAUUCGUCGCCAUAGGAUGGGACUGCGGCCUAUCAGCUUGUUGGUGAGGUAAUGGCCCACCAAGGCGAUUACAGGUACGGGCUCUGAGAGGAGAGGCCCGGAGAUGGGUACUGAGACAAGGACCCAGGCCCUAUGGGGCGCAGCAGGCGAGAAAACUUUGCAGUGUGCGAAAGCACGACAAGGUUAAUCCGAGUGAUUUCUGCUAAAGGAAUCUUUUGUUAGUUCUAAAAAUACUAGUGAAUAAGGGGUGGGCAAGUUCUGGUGUCAGCCGCCGCGGUAAAACCAGCACCUCAAGUGGUCAGGAGGAUUAUUGGGCCUAAAGCAUCCGUAGCCGGCUCUGUAAGUUUUCGGUUAAAUCCAUGUGCUCAACGCAUGGGCUGCCGAAAAUACUGCAUAGCUAGGGAGUGGGAGAGGUAGACGGUACUCGGUAGGAAGGGGUAAAAUCCUUUGAUCUAUCGAUGACCACCUGUGGCGAAGGCGGUCUACCAGAACACGUUCGACGGUGAGGGAUGAAAGCUGGGGGAGCAAACCGGAUUAGAUACCCGGGUAGUCCCAGCUGUAAACGAUGCAGACUCGAUGAUGCAUUGGCAUAUAGCCAGUGCAGUGUCGCAGGGAAGCCGUUAAGUCUGCCGCCUGGGAAGUACGUACGCAAGUAUGAAACUUAAAGGAAUUGGCGGGGGAGCACCACAAGGGGUGAAGCCUGCGGUUC
Molecule: ribosomal RNA, 875 nt
Filed under: uncultured archaeon
Lineage: Archaea
Description: bacterial SSU rRNA
Rfam family: Archaeal small subunit ribosomal RNA
Source: RNAcentral